RNAcentral lists this ribosomal RNA (292 nucleotides) under Bicosoecida sp. CB-2014. RNAcentral's name for it is "partial Bacterial small subunit ribosomal RNA". It matches the Rfam family "Bacterial small subunit ribosomal RNA", at positions 43 to 337 of the family's 1533-position model. The record is from RNAcentral. Lineage: Eukaryota; Bigyra; Bicosoecida.
CAGGCCUAACACAUGCAAGUCGAGCGGUAGAGAGAAGCUUGCUUCUCUUGAGAGCGGCGGACGGGUGAGUAACGCGUAGGAAUCUACCUGGUAGUGGGGGACAACAUUCGGAAACGGAUGCUAAUACCGCAUACGCCCUACGGGGGAAAGGAGGGGAUCUUCGGACCUUUCGCUAUCAGAUGAGCCUGCGUAGGAUUAGCUAGUUGGUGGGGUAAAGGCCCACCAAGGCGACGAUCCUUAGCUGGUCUGAGAGGAUGACCAGCCACACUGGGACUGAGACACGGCCCAGACU